RNAcentral lists this ribosomal RNA (520 nucleotides) under uncultured Scutellospora. RNAcentral describes it as "SSU rRNA". It matches the Rfam family "Eukaryotic small subunit ribosomal RNA", at positions 569 to 1095 of the family's 1831-position model. Lineage: Eukaryota; Fungi; Glomeromycota; Glomeromycetes; Diversisporales; Gigasporaceae. The record is from RNAcentral.
AGCAGCCGCGGUAAUUCCAGCUCCAAUAGCGUAUAUUAAAGUUGUUGCAGUUAAAAAGCUCGUAGUUGAAUUUCGGGAUUCUACCGUUGGUCGGGCUAACAAGUCUGUACUGGUGUGUAGAAUUUCUACCUUCUGGGGAACUAUCAUGUUAUUAAUUUAGCGUGGUGGGAAACCAGGGCCUUUACCUUGAAAAAAUUAGAGUGUUCAAAGCAGGCUUACGUCUGAAUACAUUAGCAUGGAAUAAUAAAAUAGGACGGUGGUCCUGUUUUGUUGGUUUCUGAAUCACCGUAAUGAUUAAUAGGGAUAGUUGGGGGCAUUAGUAUUCAAUUGUCAGAGGUGAAAUUCUUGGAUUUAUUGAAGACUAACUUCUGCGAAAGCAUUUGCCAAGGAUGUUUUCAUUAAUCAAGAACGAAAGUUAGGGAUCGAAGACGAUCAGAUACCGUCGUAGUCUUAACCAUAAACUAUGCCGACUAGGGAUCGGAUGAUGUUAAUUUUUANGACUNAUUCGCUCCUUACGGGA